This 611-nucleotide ribosomal RNA is filed under the name uncultured bacterium. RNAcentral's name for it is "bacterial SSU rRNA". It matches the Rfam family "Bacterial small subunit ribosomal RNA", at positions 8 to 664 of the family's 1533-position model. The record is from RNAcentral.
AGAGUUUGAUCAUGGCUCAGAACGAACGCUGGCGGCAGGCCUAACACAUGCAAGUCGAACGAAACCUUCGGGUUUAGUGGCGCACGGGUGAGUAACGCGUGGAUAUCUACCUCGGGAUGGGGAAUAACUAUUGGAAACGAUAGCUAAUACCGCAUACGCCGGAAACGGGAAAGCUUUAUGCGUCCUGAGAUGAGUCCGCGUUAGAUUAGAUAGUUGGUAGGGUAAUGGCCUACCAAGUCUACGAUCUAUAGCUGGUCUGAGAGGAUGAUCAGCCACACUGGGACUGAGACACGGCCCAGACUCCUACGGGAGGCAGCAGUGGGGAAUAUUGGACAAUGGGCGCAAGCCUGAUCCAGCCAUGCCGCGUGAGUGAAGAAGGCCUUAGGGUUGUAAAGCUCUUUCGACGGGGAAGAUGAUGACGGUACCCGUAGAAGAAGCCCCGGCCAACUCCGUGCCAGCAGCCGCGGUAAUACGGAGGGGGCAAGCGUUGUUCGGAAUUACUGGGCGUAAAGGGCGCGUAGGCGGAAUAUCAAGUUAGAGGUGAAAGGCCUGGGCUCAACCUGGGAACUGCCUUUAAAACUGAUAAUCUAGAGUUCGGGAGAGGAUAGCGG